GACGAACGCUGGCGGCGUGCCUAACACAUGCAAGUCGAACGGAGUUUAGUUAGAUUGAGACUUCGGUCAAUAUCUUUUUAAACUUAGUGGCGGACGGGUGAGUAACGCGUGAGUAACCUGCCGUUCAAAGGGGGACAACAGUUGGAAACGACUGCUAAUACCGCAUAACGUAUCCCUGGGACAUCCCUAAGAUACCAAAGGAGCAAUCCGCUGAAUGAUGGACUCGCGUCCGAUUAGAUAGUUGGUGAGGUAACGACUCACCAAGUCGACGAUCGGUAGCCGGACUGAGAGGUUGAACGGCCACAUUGGGACUGAGACACGGCCCAG
RNAcentral lists this ribosomal RNA (327 nucleotides) under uncultured bacterium. RNAcentral's name for it is "bacterial SSU rRNA". It matches the Rfam family "Bacterial small subunit ribosomal RNA", at positions 28 to 334 of the family's 1533-position model. The record is from RNAcentral.